ACUUGGGCUGGGCAUCAUGAUGAUGUACACAAACUUCUCACGUAUACAGGAAGUACUGACAAAGAAGAAAAUGGAUAAUUGGCUGUAUAUUGAUGUAGAAAGUGAGACGAAGUAUCCCUCCACGUUAUGUAUUGAAUUCUACUUUCAUCAAUAUUGCAGUGAACUGAUUCACUCACCAAAAUAAAUUUCAUCCGUGUAAAGAACGUCUUGUUGUAUUAAAAAGUUAUGGCUUUACCACGGCCCAGGGUGGUCUCAUGUUAUUGAGAAUUCUUAGCAAAGUCUUUGUUAUAACAUUUGUUGUCUGUAUUUGGGAUACAUCGCAAUCAUAUAAGUUUGCCAUGUGAGUGAUGUCAAGUGAAAAAAUGAGCCCGCAGCCCCAAACAUCCAAAAGAAAAGGACAGAAUAAAUGACAGCUUCUGAUGGUUUGACCUCGAACAAUCUACCCAAUCCAACAAUCAUGAAUUGGGACAAAGAUGCAGUGAAAUCAGCUAUAGAUAAGCUUAAGAUAGUAAUCCACGGUCGUCGUCUUAGUUUGUUUAAAGGAUCCUUCACAAUAACAACAAUAAGAAGACCAUUUGUUAGGACACCAACUGUGGAGAUCACCAUUGUUGUUAUCAAUAUUUCUUGAGGAAGUGAGAAACUUUUCUUUGGUUUCAUAUUAAAUACAUAAAUAUAUGUUUAUUA
This is a long non-coding RNA of Xenia sp. Carnegie-2017, 684 nucleotides long. RefSeq lists it as uncharacterized. The transcript has 2 exons. The record is from RefSeq and is a predicted model, not a curated record. NCBI's taxonomy places the organism in Eukaryota, Metazoa, Cnidaria, Anthozoa, Malacalcyonacea, Xeniidae.